UGCGUUAGUUCAGCAGUGAACUGAGUACCCCUGUCGCAUAGAAUCUCCCUAGGGAAUCCUACCGAGAGAAGACUUGUACUAAGGCAUUAGCUAUGGUGUCCGCCUGAAUAUUGGAUAGAGCCACUGCCUCUGGGUAGCGGGUAGCGUAGUCCACCACGGUAAAAAUGUAUCUCUUUCUGGAUGGACUAGGGGUGGCGAGGGGCCCUACUAGGUCAAUGGCUACCCAGCUAAAAGGU
Non-coding RNA from Pelobates cultripes (western spadefoot toad), 236 nucleotides. The record is from the annotation of a GenBank genome assembly. Lineage: Eukaryota; Metazoa; Chordata; Amphibia; Anura; Pelobatidae.